Molecule: long non-coding RNA, 1725 nt
Organism: Clarias gariepinus (North African catfish)
Lineage: Eukaryota; Metazoa; Chordata; Actinopteri; Siluriformes; Clariidae
Exons: 3
Source: RefSeq, a predicted model, not a curated record
ACAGUAUAGAAAUAACUGGUAAAAUAGACUUUCAGAAUAAAACAUUACAAUAACUCAAAAAAGACGCACUAAAAAUGCUGUGUUGUUUCUGUAAACACAUCGUUGGGUGGUUUAUGCUGGGUCAAAAUUCUGGGUUAUUUCGGGUACUUUAAACACAUUGUUGUGUUGCUCAUGUUGGGUCAUAUGAGAUGUAGUGAGUCAUUUACAAAUGAACACCUGGUUGGGUUAUUUUGACCCAACCACUGGUUUAUUCUUUAUUUUCUGGUUUCUCCAAACGUCAGCCUGCAAAAUAAUCGAAAUAUUACUGUUAUUGUGUCACAGGUGUAGUUUUCGGAAAUUUGAGCUUCAGUAUGCUACAUUCCCCGGCGCUCUGCGCAUAACACCAGUCCAACGCAGCCUUGUAAAGAAUUUCUAAACGUGGGCUAUUGUUGUUUACUUACAAUAUUUGUUAAUUUAAUUUGGUGGCAGUGGGCAGAGUGGCAGAACGGAGCACGCGGAGGCAGCCCGCCUGCACGGAGUGAAGGCGCCGCGAGAGUGCGAGGAUCAAAGGGCUGAAUUUCAGUGUCCUGUUUGAAGUCCCUGGACCGCGUCACAUUGCCCCGCUCGCAUGCCACUCUGUCCUGCUCCACCGCCAUUGGAUAAAUGGGCGGAGCACUGUCCCACUUUGAGCUAGUGGUCACUUAGACCAACAAGCUGAGGUUAGCCAUUACUAUGAAGUUUAAAAGCAAACAUGAACUCUUUAUUCACUUUUGUGUUUAAAGUUCUGUUAGCUUUUCUGAAAGGGCAUUAUUUUACCCAUACUGCAGACAUUGAUAAGUCCCAGAAUCCACAAAUAAAAACCCUAUGUGGAUUAAUUUUGAAAUGGAAAUGAUACAAUAGAAUUGCCGUGAAUUUAUUAAAUGUCAGUGUAAUCUAAAUAUCCUAAAAUAAACUCUCUCGAAAUGACAGCACUAAAAAUUAGUAGUUGAAUUAUCUGAUAAUAUCAGAGAAUAAUUUUAGUUAUCCUGCAAAACUGAAUUAUGUUUAUUGGUUUAUUGUAUUAUCAGUAGUGAGCACUUACAAAGCAACAGAAUGCAGUUAUUUUAAAGGUGUGUGUGGGGUGGUGAUUCUUUCUAUACAUACUGUAAUUAAGAUUUGCUAAGAACUUGAGCCAGUCCAAUUUUUGUUUUUACUUUUUUUUUUUUUAAGAUCAAUUAUGAGUUUCUGAGAAUUACAACUGCUCCACUUCAAGCAAGAUUGCUGGUUUCCUUGGACAAGCAACACUACAAACUCAUUGAGAGAAGACCAGAGAUAUAAUCUUCAUCUUCAAGUUCUUGAUCUGAGCCUGGAGGUGAAUGUAUGAAGAGAGUAUCUCCUGAAAUGUCUUAUGGUGUAUUUAGUGGAAGAUGUGGACCAACUGUUUAAACACUGGUUGUUCAGAAAGGUGAAGCUCAGGCUGAACUUGAGAGGUGCACGAUGGCCCUGUUUGCCCUCAGGGAGGAAGAGGACUGUCUUCAGCCACCACAGGAAAUCAGGAUUGUGACUUAUUGAGUUUCCAUCAGUCGCACAUGAAUGUUCCAUGUUUGGCCUUAUCUAUGCGUUAAACUUGAGCUAUCCUGGUGAGCUCAAACACACAUUUGUGGCCCGGCAGAAAAUAUUUAGGGAACGUAUUCUAUAUUGACAUUAAAAUAUUAAAUUUUGGUCACACUAUUUGUCAAACAAUUGUCAGAUUUUCACAUGGUUAGC